This is a long non-coding RNA of Gasterosteus aculeatus aculeatus (three-spined stickleback), 2328 nucleotides long. NCBI's taxonomy places the organism in Eukaryota, Metazoa, Chordata, Actinopteri, Perciformes, Gasterosteidae. The record is from Ensembl.
CACGUGUUCAUCUAUCCACAGGCAAAGGUGAGCAGAGCAGAUUAUCAACAGAGAGCUAUCUGAGUCCCUUUUGAAAGCUAAAGCAUACAAGCCGUAGUCAUUUGGAGAUUUUGCUGCCUGAGAUUCCAACACCUGAUGGGAUGCUUGAGGUGUCCGAUAAGAUGACUGUUUUUGGGCAGUCAGAAAAAUAAGUUGUUGAGACCUGAAGUGAAGGGAAUUCAGCCCACUGGAAUAACCGCAGUCUGUCAGGCCUCAUCAGACACGUCCUACAUUUAAAUGAUGUGGGCGCCUGAGACCUCCGAAACGUUUCAGCGCUUUAUGAUGGAACCCAGUCACCUUUGACUUUCACAAUCAACUCCCAUUUCUGCUCAGUAAAACAUGCGGGUCCCCUGAGGAUGUCCAUGAGGUCUAACCAUAUUGUGUCCCUUGGGUAAUGUUAGUCUAAUGAGGUCAUGUUUAUUCGCAUAUUGAUUGAUUAAAUGUAAGGACUCAGUAAUCAUGAAUUUCACAUCACUGUUCAUUGUCUCCAGUUAAUGACGCUAAUUCAAACCAGUUGUGAAGACAAAGAAAGAUCCACACAUGAAGGAAUGUAUUUAUUCUGUCCAUAAGCAUUACAACAGGCACACAUCUGGUUCAUAUCAAACAGAAAUAAACUUUACACCCAAAUGUUAUGCAAAUUAUGAUUGCCAGAAAAAAGUCCAAAGAAAAUGCAAAUAGAUAUUCCUAAUUAUUUUGCUAUUUAAAUGAUUAGAUUGAAAUAAAUAGUUGGUACUAAACCGUUGCAGACUAAGAGUGCACGAUACAAUUAGAAUAUCAAACGGCAAAACAGGGAUUCAAAUUCCGACACAAUGUCACGGCCGUCGCCUUCUGAUACCGACGCAAACGGCAACCUUUAGCACAUCUGUACAAGACACAUUAGGAUUCCAUGUAGCUGGCCUGGAAAUCUAGACGCUUAGAGCAAGUACUCAGAACAAAAUCCGAGAAAAAGGAUGGCCAUGCAUGGCUUUUACAAGGGAGGACAAUGUUCAUGUCCUUUCUAUUUGUCUUUCUAGGUAUCUGUGCAAUUUUUCCCAUUUUUGUGGCCUUAAUCUAAAAAUGCUAACGAAGUGUUGAAUGUCAAAUGUGUCCAAGUUUGACACGCAGUGCAUCACAAAAAGUUGAUGCACUGCGAAAGUGUGGAACUAGUAUGGGUUGGAUUUAAAGAGCAAGAAAGUUGCAUGCUCCUGAUCUCACCAGAAUUUUUCUUUUUGCAAAAUUGCACAUUGACAUCAGCGAGGAAUAUGCGAUAUCUAACCAUCAAUUCUAAUAAGCGACGCAAUUAUGUAGGUGACCUUCCACACAGACAAACACACACACACACACCCGAUGAAGAUGAAGUCAAACUUACCGGGUAUGAAAGAUGGUUCAUUGCUAAACAAUAUGCCAACCACUGAAGGAAAUGUUUUGUUCCCAAAAAAAAAAGACCUCAACGGAUGCAUUCACAGCCACCGGUAAUAUCUCUCUUUUUUUUAAAUUUAAAGUGAGUUUUAUACUGGUUAGAAGACUCCUCUGUGCUGAUUAGAGUAUAAUAGCUUGCUGAAUGGCAUCAUUUUAUGGCUGAGUUGUUUCAGAUGAGAUAGAGAAUCGUUGUUAUCUGGGACGCUUUUAAAAAUCAAUUCCAAAUCUUUUAUUAGGCAUUUUGUGCCAUGUUUUCAUUGAGAUUUGAUUUGAAUAAUACAUGUUACACGGCUUACAGCGGUAAAGUGUAAUGGACAUUUAUUAUUUGUAUGCUAAUUAUUAAGUAUUCAUUUUUUGAACAGUUUCAAUCACUUAUAAAGCCAAAGGUAUGUUUAAUUAUUGAAUCAUUAAAUAUAGAGUAAAACAACCACUGUGUACUGUAUGUAAAUGUAUUCAACACAGUAUGAUUUAUAAAGGAAACUUCUCUUGCACUUUAUAUUCUAUUACUUUAUAAGGAAAUUCAAAAGUUGCUUAUAAAGAUGAGUAUAAUAAAAGAUUGGAAGUACGUUUUUCACCUGCUGCAAAUUCUUUAUCCGUGGUUUUAGUCAUGUUUACCAUCAUUGUGUACUUUUUUAAUAUCCUGUAAUGGCUGUUCUUUUUACCGCCUGUUGCCUGGAUGUGGCAUAUCGACAAAAUUAAAUAUUGUGUUUCCCUACAAAUGCUCAUAGAUGAUACAACUUGGCUAACAAAAACUGAGUAGCCGGUCCAGCACCAGCACACCUCGCACAACUGUCAAAGAAUUACCUAUGAAAUAAACAACAAUCUCAGUCUAUAAAAUAAUGAAAAAUGUGAAGGCAAAAUAAAACCUUGAUCAAAAGAGCGAGCCUCCCA